Molecule: ribosomal RNA, 440 nt
Filed under: uncultured bacterium
Lineage: Bacteria
Description: partial 16S ribosomal RNA
Rfam family: Bacterial small subunit ribosomal RNA
Source: RNAcentral
CCUACGGGUGGCAGCAGUGGGGAAUAUUGCACAAUGGGGGGAACCCUGAUGCAGCAACGCCGCGUGAGUGAAGAAGGAUUUCGGUAUGUAAAGCUCUAUCAGCAGGGAAGAAGAUGACGGUACCUGAGUAAGAAGCCCCGGCUAACUACGUGCCAGAAGCCGCCGUAAUACGUAGGGGGCAGGCGUUAUCCGGAUUUACUGGGGGUAAAGGGAGCGUAGACGGCGAGGCAAGUCUGGAGUGAAAGCCUGGGGCUCAACCCCGGGACUGCCUUGGAAACUGCCUGGCUUGAGUGCUGGAGAGGCAAGCGGAAUUCCUAGUGUAGCGGUGAAAUGCGUAGAUAUUAGGAAGAACACCAGUGGCGAAGGCGGCUUGCUGGACAGUAACUGACGUUGAGGCUCGAAAGCGUGGGGAGCAAACAGGAUUAGAUACCCGGGUAGUC